GGGGGAUCCUGCAUUCCUCUCUAUGUGAAGGCUUAGCUUCAUCAGGAGCGAGCCUACGUAAGCUCUCUGCAAAUUCUCUCUAUGAGCCCUAAUUUGAUCGCACUGGAGUGUGCAAGGGAGACAGGCGGAUAAGGUCUGAAGCAAUACCGAGGAAGAAAGGAAAACUCUUGAAAGCUUGUCUUUUAAGUAUUAGGUUGUGGAUUUUCUAGUCAUUAGCAUUGUAGAAACCAUCCUCAAGCAGCGAGAGCAAACACAUGACCUCAGGGGUUACAGCUAAUGAUCUCACAAUUCCAAUCCUUCAAAACAUGUCUGCUAUUUCUACAGAUUCCUCCCGCUGAGGAGGAUAUCACUCCAUACCAGUGACCCCGACCAUUGUCAGCAACUAAGGGAAUCAAAUCGUGUUCACCAUCAAACAUCAUCCUACACAGAGGUCACACAGACGCCUAA
Bufo bufo (common toad) is the source of this 447-nucleotide long non-coding RNA. RefSeq lists it as uncharacterized. The record is from RefSeq and is a predicted model, not a curated record. The transcript is spliced from 3 exons. Lineage: Eukaryota; Metazoa; Chordata; Amphibia; Anura; Bufonidae.